Pomacea canaliculata is the source of this 580-nucleotide long non-coding RNA. RefSeq lists it as uncharacterized. The transcript is spliced from 3 exons. The record is from RefSeq and is a predicted model, not a curated record. NCBI's taxonomy places the organism in Eukaryota, Metazoa, Mollusca, Gastropoda, Architaenioglossa, Ampullariidae.
ACAUUUGCUGACCAAGAACUGGGAUGUUUUCCCAGCUUAUUGUGCGGAGACUUGCAACAGCUGCAUCUGGCAAGCCACUGGGUGUGGUGCCAGCAAAUGCUCGCUACAAGAAAUUACAGCAAUUGCAAAAUGUUUUCUGCCGUGAUGAUGGCUUGCUGGUGUGGCAGAAGAUGGGAGCAAGAGACAUGUUUAUGUACUACACCACCCUUUUGAUUACUAUUGGAGGGCUUAUACCGUGCCUGACCAUCAUUGGAAAGAUGUCUUUCCCUAAAAAACAAGAGUAGUUUUAUUCAUUAUCAAGUGUUUAUCUUCAGCAUUUGAAAUCUAGUAGGGUCUUAAAUCAUGUACAGUCCUGUUGAACUGAUUGUUGUGUCUCAACAGAAAGACCUUCAGGUGUAAGCACUCUCUUUUGAUAAUGAUGGCAAUUAAGAGAAAUUACCCUAACAUUGGUUUUCAUCAAAUCUUCUAAGUUAAAAAUUAACCAUUUUUUUAUUGAAUAUUUUGUUGAAACUCAAAGACAUGAAAGGGAAAUUUACAUUAUUGCAGUAGAGUGAGUGAAAAUGAAAAACAUGGUAUCAAA